RNAcentral lists this ribosomal RNA (301 nucleotides) under uncultured bacterium. RNAcentral describes it as "partial 16S ribosomal RNA". It matches the Rfam family "Bacterial small subunit ribosomal RNA", at positions 509 to 808 of the family's 1533-position model. The record is from RNAcentral.
CAGUCGCCGCGGUAAAACGUAGGUCCCGAGCGUUGUCCGGAUUUAUUGGGCGUAAAGCGAGCGCAGGCGGUUAGAUAAGUCUGAAGUUAAAGGCUGUGGCUUAACCAUAGUAUGCUUUGGAAACUGUUUAACUUGAGUGCAGAAGGGGAGAGUGGAAUUCCAUGUGUAGCGGUGAAAUGCGUAGAUAUAUGGAGGAACACCGGUGGCGAAAGCGGCUCUCUGGUCUGUAACUGACGCUGAGGCUCGAAAGCGUGGGGAGCAAACAGGAUUAGAUACCCCAGUAGUCCCUGUCUCUUAUACA